AGUAGAGUCAGCUAAUCAAGCUUUCGGGCCCAUGCCCCGGCAAUGUAGGUUAAUCUCCUCCCUCUACUA
RNAcentral lists this transfer RNA (69 nucleotides) under Oneirodes thompsoni. RNAcentral describes it as "tRNA-Met". The record is from RNAcentral. Lineage: Eukaryota; Metazoa; Chordata; Actinopteri; Lophiiformes; Oneirodidae.